CAACGGCGCCUAUUUCUGCCGUGAAGCAGUCAUGUGUAAGCAUUACUGUGUUUCGGUCUGAAGGGCGCCGUAGCUAGUGAAAUUACUGGGCAAAUGAGACUUAACAUCUUAUGUCUCAAGGUGACGAGCGCAGUUGUAGUGCGGCUCAGAAUUUUUGAUUUUUUCAAGAAUCUUUAGCGGCACUGCAUUGUAAUGUGCAGGGCGUAUCAGUUACUGUCAUCUGAACGUCCUGCUCGUCUCGUCCCUUAUUAUCAUAAAAAAAAGCUAUACUUUAUUUUAAUAUCCUCUCUAGAGUCUUCGACCAACAAAGUGUCUCUAUUUUGGUAACUUUGAAGAAAUUUGAUUUGCAGAGGUUAAAUUUCGUUUUAUCUAUUUUCUCAAAAUUGAUUCCUUUAGAAUUCUUUUUGAUGUCAUUUCUAAUAUACUAGACACCACUACCGCUUCGGAAACAAAUGGCGCUCUGAGAGAGAGAAGAAGCGGCGCAAAAAUCUCUCUGCGCUCUUUUUAAUCGAAUAUACAUUCAAAUAUAUUGUAUUGUCAUUGCUAUUAAAUAAAUUAAUCAUAAUCUAGUCCCAGGCUGUCCGAUCACUUAGAUAUUCAGCUGUGGAGUAGUAGGAUGUAUGACAGAGCAAUUUUUUAAGUAGAGACUUAAAAUGAAGGGAACGAAACAUUAUCAUAUAUUUUUAUCGGCUCCUUUUACUUGACGCGGUGUAAAUAUCUUUAAUUUUAAAUCAUUCAAUGAGCACUGUUACCAUUUCCGUAUUAUUUAAGCUCUGAAUUUUGUAAAGUUUUAAACUACUUGAGUAUAAUCGCUUGAACAUAGAGAAUAUAAUAUUGAUACUUCAUUUCAUUCACAUUUACUUCCACACAAUACGCAAAAUAGAAACUUACAUGAACUAAUUUUAUUUAUAAUAUUACUAGCUGACCCGACAGACGUUGUUCUGUAGAUAAUAAAAAAAUACUAUUUUAUAGGAAUUUGCCAAUAAUAUUUGAAAACAUCAAGAAUUAUUUCGUAAAAAGUGCUCCCUGUUGUUAUAAUGAAAUUGUUUCACAGCAGAACUGUCAAAUCGUGCGUCACUAAAUUCUCUCAUAGAAAAUAUUAUGUCCAUACAAAACAAAUAUUGAAAAUUAAAAUAAUUAUGGGUCCCAAAUCGAAAUAAAAACUCUCCUAUCUCUCAAGUUGGACCAAACAGCACUCCAUGAAGUAAUCCCCUUUAAAAACCGUUCAUUAGUUUAGGUCAAUUGCGGACAAACAACGUGUCACGUAAUUUAUAUAUAUUAAGAUUUACUUGGCAGUAUUAAUAUAUUUAUACCUAUUGUUUUAAUAUAUUUUACAAUUUAAAACAGUCACAAACCACAAAAUUACUUUUGUAUAUUUUGUGGUAAAUGUUAAUGCCUCGCAUUUGGUCACGGGUGAAACAACUGGUCUUCUCGGUGGCGAUAGCAGCGCCUUAAGUGAUUAUACUCAAGUAAACUAAAAAAUCAGUUAAGUUUUAAAGUUACCUACGAUGUGCUUAAUACGUACUUACCGAAUAAAAUGCAUUUAAAUUAAGGUCUAUUUAUGCCUUUUGUGUAUCGAUCAUAUUUAUUUAAAUCGAGAAAUGUGUUAAAUAAUAUAUUUAUGUAUUAUAAGA
Long non-coding RNA from Leptidea sinapis, 1634 nucleotides. RefSeq lists it as uncharacterized. Lineage: Eukaryota; Metazoa; Arthropoda; Insecta; Lepidoptera; Pieridae. The record is from RefSeq and is a predicted model, not a curated record. The transcript is spliced from 2 exons.